AUUUGGCUGUGCUCCUGGUAUGACAGACCGGUUUGGGGAACACAAGCGUUCAGUUGUGUCGACGCCAAGUCGAAGCACUGGUUCAACAUUGACGCCAGACACGUUGUCCUGUCUAGCACACCCAAUGCUGCCCAACCGGUUUAUCACAAGAUACGACGUGAACAUCACCAUGAAGCCCCGACGUCCUUUGAACUUUCAAGAAAUGGUUGGGUUUGGUCAAGGGACUGGUAUUGGAUCUGAUAUAUUAUCAUUGUUGUCACACCUUUUCGCUAAAUAUGAGGUCUUGAAAAUGCUUGGUAUUGCUCCUUGUGAGGUGUUACCCAACGUUAAUGACGCCUGUCUGUAUAAGUGGUACAUACUUGACACCUAUGGCGAAGGAUGAGCCAGUUAUUUUCGAGUUUGUACUUUGGGUGCAUCUCGUUCCUCGGGUUGCAUUGCACCCGCGACCCCAUAGGAGUUCCUGGUCUUGUCUCUUCGCCCCCAACCCCGAUAAACUCUAUGUACCGUGAACGAAUGCUCAUCAGGUCGACAGCUAUUUGACGACGUAAAUCCAUCCAUAUUAACUGGCGCUGCGGCUGCGCUCAAUAGACUCCGUUGGGGAGUCUGAGCCUGAUAGGGUGUACCAGUCCAGCCGGUUAUGUACGGUUGGUAUGCUCUAUGAUAUGGAUCUCCAGCCACCUGUCAGCUAGGGGCAGACCCCAGUGUCUCAACCCUGGGUCUCAGAGGCGGUAACUUCUAGUCAGGCAGCGCGCUAUGUCUGGUUAGGCGACAUGGGUUACCAGGGCAUCCACAGCCAAAAUGGUUUGCACAUGGAGGUCAUCGCGACCGACUUGUGAGGGGGAAGAAGUGAUGUCCAUGGCGGUUUCAAAUUGAUCUGACGACCCCCGCGUCUUCUGGACAGGGAGGGGUUCAUGUGGCCAAAUCCUGUCAGCUAAAUCCUAUCGUUAGCAUCGUUCGCGGUACAUGGAAACCAAGGGCAUGGAACCCUUUUUUGUCUUGGUUUAAUUUCUCUGAGGAUUUCAAUGAUGAUAUAUAUAUUUAGAUCCACAGGUAUAGUCGGUACAUGUGGCGACUCGCCACAUGAACAUUUUAAAAGUUUUUUUCGAGCAUUGUUAUAAGUUAUGAGAAUAAAUUUCUUCUUUGGACGUGUUUUUUUUUACCAGAAUGACAAUCAAAAAGUUUGUCACUGGAGAAUUUCCCCAUCCCCCACCCCAGCCCUAGAAUAAUAUACAGACUAAAUAGUGUCUUUGGACUGUACUGGUAAUAUAGGUCAGUCACAAAAAAUAAAAUAUAUAUUGGACUGUACUGGUAAUAUAGGUCAGUCACGAAGAAUAGAAUAUGUAUUGGACUGUACUGGUAAUAUAGGUCAGUCACGAAAAAUGAAAUAUAUAUUGGACUGUACUGGUAAUAGAGGUCAGUCAAAAAAAAAGAAAUAUAUAUUGGACUGUACUGGUAAUAUAGGUCAGUCACGAAAAUAUCUGAAAGUCUGUGCCCCAUUGUUGACGAAUAUAAUAUCGUGAGGACUUUAUCAAUAGUCACGGUCCCUGGCCCCUCCCACAUAAAAAUGAUUAGCAAGGUCACUGCAGGCAAUAGCUUCAGCAUUGUUAUUGUAUAAACAUGUCUUAAACAUUAUAAACGGCCCUAUUUGUGGGGUUACAUUGGGUUCUUGCUGGGGUAAUGAUGUCCAUGUCCGAUUCUGCGUUUUGUGGACUUGUAAAUCAGUCCAGCAGUGACAUUGCGUUUUGUGGACAUGUAAGUCUGUCCCGCAGUACCAAGUUUCACCCCAGCAAUUACCAAUAAGACCUGCACGUGACCUUAAAGUAAAUAGCUAUGCAAGUGUGGUCGAGACAAAACGAGAUGUAUGCAUUGGAAGAAGGAAAUAUGCGAAGAGUAGCUGGAACUGUCUGUUCAGCUCUCGUUUAUGAAACCAUGGGCGAUUUGAAAGACGUCUCCUGAACAGAUCGCCCAUUGUUCACUGAAGCAGCAUUCGAAUUGUCUCCAAUUUUUUUCAGGUGGAUUGCUCCAUCUUGUGUGGUUUCGCUGUCCCGACUCAAGAAUCGAGCCAACGCGACCGAGGCCACUUCUGAGAGAUAAAUAUUCAGGAUGCCAGAUUUGUGGAACACAAUUGAGGCCAGUAGUCAAGAGCCAUGAUCAGGGAACAGCAGUUCCCAGCGGAAUUGACCCUUUUCUUGUUGUAAUUCAUGCUGUUGGCCCAGAAUGGGUUGACACUCACCUGUUUUCGACCCUGAAAAUUAAACAUCGAACAUUGUUACUCUUUGUUAAAAGUGAAUCUUGCAAAAUAUGUGCUUAUUCCUGAAACAAUAGCACUUCAUGUAUGUACUCGCUGAUCCAGAAUAUUGCUAUUUCUUGUUCCGUUUUCAAUGUGGCAAUCCAUUUACCGUAUCUGAGCUAUUUCAUAGCACAAGAAGUGCAACAUUACAACAAUGGAGCUAUUUCUUGAUCACAGCAAAAAUGUGUUUCUACAUUGUUUUACUCAAAUGAUGCAUGGAUGAGCCUUAUUGACAUAUUUGUUUUCAAGAGGAAUUGGUUGUAGGUUUUCUUUCUUUUUUCCUAAGGCAGGCCUAAUUUAACAGAAGGCCUAUAUUUUAGGUAGGAUAUUAUUUAUACUAUAGGCCCAUAUCAGUUUUGAGAUCAAUUUCCUCUUGAAGACAAUAAACGUCAAUCGAGUCUCUGCACCAUUUUGAUUGGGCGGUUUUGGGCUAAAAUACAGUACAAGAGAAUGCUCCAUUGGUGUUAACAGAUGUUUUGGUCCGCAAUCAGUUCUUGCCACCUUGAAAGCGGUCACGGUUACUUACGACUUGUACAUUGUUCAAUUGUUAUUAUGCUAUUGUCAUUUGCCUUUGCCCCCCCCCCCCAUCCUUAUCGACACUCAAGUGCACCACCCUCCAUCCCAUGCCCCGCAUGCGCACUGACCCAACCUCUGAUCCCUUGACACGCUUGCUCAAGCGGCUCAAGCGGCGUCAGCAGUAUCAACGUUGUGUUAUUGUAUUCCAAGUUUUGCAUUAUUCAUAUGUAUGUACUUGCCAAACAAAUGUUGUCAUAUCAUAACCUUCGUCUCUUGUCCUUCGGUCAAUAAGUGUGCGGAUCACUCCGAACAAGUUCGAUCAACACACUACACUAUCUUCACGUGCAACAAUUUACGGUCAGCCUUUUCUGAUUCCGCAUGCCCGCCACUAAAUCUAAGUUUUGUAGUAUAUAUUAUAUAC
Long non-coding RNA from Lineus longissimus, 3227 nucleotides. RefSeq lists it as uncharacterized. Lineage: Eukaryota; Metazoa; Nemertea; Pilidiophora; Heteronemertea; Lineidae. The transcript has 4 exons. The record is from RefSeq and is a predicted model, not a curated record.